Peromyscus eremicus (cactus mouse) is the source of this 107-nucleotide small nuclear RNA. The record is from RefSeq and is a predicted model, not a curated record. NCBI's taxonomy places the organism in Eukaryota, Metazoa, Chordata, Mammalia, Rodentia, Cricetidae.
GUGUCUUCUUCAGCUGCACAUAUACUAAAAUUAGAUUGAUACAGAGAAGAUUAGCAUGAUCCCUGCACAAGGAUAACAUGCACAUUCAUAAAGCAUUCCAUAUUUAA